This 4626-nucleotide long non-coding RNA is filed under the name Mytilus galloprovincialis (Mediterranean mussel). The record is from RNAcentral. Lineage: Eukaryota; Metazoa; Mollusca; Bivalvia; Mytilida; Mytilidae.
UAGAAUGACACCGUGAAAAAAGUUGUCAAUGUAUUCACAUGUGAUCAUUUUCUGGUAAGCAUAUUUCUCAUAGCUAUUCUAUUUAAUUUAAAUAUAGGAAAUGCAAUCAAAUAACGCUUUUUAAAUUAAUGUUUUGAAUCUUAUUUUACUAUAUUAUAAAACCCCGAAGAUUUGUAUUCUAUUUCCUUAUUUUUUGGUGUCUGAUAUCUGAUAAUAGACGGUACAAAUAAAGUCAAACAUUCUCUUGUCCUGUGAUAUUUCUCUGGGACGAAUGUCACUCUAAAUGCAAUCUCGCAGUUUUUACACCUGAUAGAUUAAAACAGUUACAAAACGAAAGGAAUUAUUAAAGAUCACGGUAGGUAUAGUGUCCGGCUAGGAUCGUGGUUUUUCGAGUGAUUUGAUCGGGCUUUUUCGAGUGAUUAUGAUAAAAAAUGUAAACAAACAGACUUCCUUUCUGUCAAGACGUGAUAUAAACGCUUGAGUUUAACAUUCACGGGUGUGUCAGUAUUUAAGAUAAAAAUAUCUUAUCAAUCCGAUAUUAUUUUUGUUAAAAAAGUUUGAAUUUAGCUGUACAAUGCUUUUAUUCCAAAAAACAGAAUAAAGGCAAUUUCAUACACACAUUAAUGCAAAUUUCGAUGAAAAUGCAUACAUAGAAUCCUUAUUUUCUAUAGAUAUACAGACAUUUUAAAAAAUCUUGUUAUUGCAUUGAAAACGACAUUUGUAGACUAAAUUCAUUUCUAUGUGUUCGGUUUUUUUUUCGAGAGCACUCCGGGCUUAUUCGAGUGCGUCCGUGUUUUAUUGAGUGAUUAUACAAAUUUCCUAUAGCUUAAAAUGUUAAAUGUCAGUGUAUUUACGUUUAAAAACAAUAAAAAAGAGUUCAAGAUGUGUACUUUUCAAGGCACAAAACCAAAGCAUUCAUUAGUUUGAUAAUGGUGUACAACGAUUAAACUUUAUAAACAAGUAUCGUACAUUUUUAUAUAUUGUUGUUUGUCACUUCUUAUAAAUUACAUGUUCAUUAUAUAUUCAUGAUGACAACAAUCUAAUGAAAGCAUAGACAAUUUGGAUUGAGACGUUCAAAUAUUACUUACAUAUAUUGUGUUGAGCUGAUGAACUAUUCAUUUCAUUGUUAACUGUCUAUAUAAUUAUGAAAUUUAAUUCAAAUUUUAUUUUAAAAGGGAAUAAAAACUGGUCGGAUUUAGUGUGUGUAUGUUUUUGCUUUUGUUUCUUAUGAUUUUAUUUUGUGGAGGCAGGGAUCAGACUUCUUUCGUUAGAAUACUUUUAUUACAUAGCAUUUUUCUGAUUCUUUUCUGCUGUCCAGGUUUCUUACUGCGUUUUUGGUAAACAGCUGCGCCAUGAGCGAAUACUACGCCCGUAGUUUUCAAAGAAUAAAGUUCAUUCACUUAUGUUGUGGCUUAUUAUCUAUAUCUUGCAUGAAUAGACAUUUCACGUAGCACACUGUAACGUACAGAGUGUGAUACGAAAAUCUGCGUUAAUUUGAUUUGCUUUUCCAGGAUCAUAUUAAGAUGAUAUUACGGCAUCUCAUUGGCUAUUCGUUAGGUCAUUUAUGAUAAUGGUAUACCGUUUGAUAUCAACUCUCGUUAUUUAAUUCCAAUAAAAUAAACUCGCCGUAUUAUAGUGAAAUUAAAUAACUAGAGUUAAUAUCAAGCGAUAUUCGUUCUCACUUGUUAUGAAACCUAUAGAUAAUUUCUCAAUUUCAUAUCAAACAUUUAUUAAAAACUUCAGGAAGGUUACGUAUACAUUAAUCUAUGUAAAUCCGUCACCAAAGUGUCGUGAAAAUUUUCAAAAGUUCUUUAAAAAUAUAGUCUAAAAACUGUAAAAUCAUCCCUUUUUAGCUCAUCGGACCAAAAAGGGUCAAAUGAUUUUUCCAUCACUUGCUGUGCGUCUCUGUCCGUCUUCAUCGUCCGUUUACUUUUACAAAAAUCAUGUGUCCGCUGAAUCUACUAGACCAAGUUCAUUAUAGAUAGAGAAAACUGUAAACAGCAAUAAUGUUUAGUAAAGUAAGAAUAACAAGCAAGUCACCAUCACCAAAAUAGAGAAUUUGGUCAUAAAUUCUAUUCUGGUCUUGAAUGUUGCAGAGUGUUCUUUUGUUUAACAUGCACUGCAACACAUAGACCAAGGUGAGCGACACAGACUCUUUAGAGCCUCUAGUUUGUUUAAUAAAAUCCAAUAACUCGGAAACGUAAAAUCUAUAAUUUAUAAAAUCAGAAAGGGUGAAUACCUAAAUAGAUAUAAAUAUUGAAGAUUCGUGUUACAGCGUUUGUGAGUUAUUUUCCGACAUGCUGACGAUGCUGACGAUGCUGACGAUGGACGGACAACGGUAUACCAUAGUUAAAAAUAUUAUUUACUAUGACAACAAAAGAACCAUGAAAUGAAGUUGAAAAGAUAAUGAGUCCCUGCACUAUGUUCUAAAGACCUUUUUACGAAGGAUCCAAUAAUUUCUAAUUUAACAAUUGAAAGUAGUGGGAGAACGUUUUCCGGUCAGAAUUAAAUUGAAAUAGGUCAAUUUUGAUCAUAGUAGUAAUAUGGUUUUGUGAUUUGUUGGGAAGAUAUGAUUUUGUCUUUCACUUGAUUACUGUUAUAAACUAUAAAAAAGUCAUUUUUUCAAGUCAAGAAUACUUUUUUUUUAUUCACAAUUUUCUUGGAAAAAAACAGAACCAUUUGUUAAAAAACCCGGAUGAUUUCACAGUUGCUCUCGAAAAGGCCCAGACAAUAAUAAACACUCAUUGUAUUUGUUAGAUACAAGGAAAUUGUGCUUCUUUGUUGAUCAAACAUGUAUAGUAAUCAAAAUAAGUUGAUAGUCAUGAAACUAUUAUAAUUACGAAAUAGCAGUUAAUUGACCUUAUCGCAUGUCUUUUUCACUCGAACAAAAACCCGGAACGAAUCACGAGAAAAACCACGAUACUAGCCGGACACUAUACCUACCGUAAAUAUAAACCCGAAUAAACAUCUUUCAAAUCUGUAAUUACAGGACAGGGAAGGACAAUUUGUUACUUUUUUACCCACAUAAGUACAUCUAUACUACUCAAGGAAUAAGUACAUCUAUACUACUCAAGGAAAAGAACGACUGUGAAACCUUACAAAGUCGGAAAUAUUUGUGAUAUGAAGUAUAAAUAAUUAAAAUAGAAAAAAGGAAAUCACAAAAUACUGAACCUUGAGGAAAAUUAUAAAACGGAAAGUCCCUAAUCAAUGGCAAAAUUAAAGAAACAGAUUUGUUUUUAUUUAACCAUGGGUUGGGCAAUUAUAUUCGAUUAUUUUACCCUGAGCGUUAGGUAAAAAUGUCAAAAAUAAAACAAACAAAUAUAUAACAAAGAAGCGCAAGAGGCAUAUAUAUAUUAGUAGAUAAAGCACAUAAGCAAAAAUGAAAGUCAACGAAUAGAAACAGUUUUACAAUAACACAAUGACGGAAUGUAUAGGUACAGAGCCACGUCACAUGUAUUAAAAAAACACAAAAAUGCAAUAUACAAAGCACAUUAGCAAAAAAGAGACAAGAACAAACAUUACCAUAGAACAAUAACAGAAAAUGAUAGGAUGUACAAGUACAGAGUCACGACAAAUACCGGUAGUUAUAAAGGUACCAGGAUUAUAAUUGAUUACGCCAGACACGCGUUUCGUCUACAUAAGACUCAUCAGUGACGCUCAUAUCAAAAUAAUUAUAAAGCCAAACAAGUACCAAUUUGAGGAGCAUUGAGGAUUCAAAAUUUCAAAAAGUUGUGCCAAAUACGGCUUAGGUCAUCUAUGCCUGGGAUAAGAAAAUCCUUAGUUUUUCGAAAAAUUCAAAGUAUUGUAAACAGGAUUUAAAAAAGAAAAAUAUCACAAAAAAAAAAAAAAAACAACCCCAGACUACACAGUAAAAGCAAUAUUUAUAAAGACAAAUAAAAGAAUAUUAUAACACGUUAUUAAGAUGAUACAACAUCAGUACCCAUAAUCUAUACUUCAAGACCAUCCUGUAUUAUUUUGAAGUUGAUACGAGAUAUAUUGUCAACAAGGUCUUGGUACCUUCCGACGAACUUAAUAAGGAAAAGGACAAGACGUUCUUUGACAUACCCCUGGUUCAUCAACUUUCUACGUAGACAUUCGUGGUGUUUUACAAAGUCUGAGUAGAAGUUGCGAGCACUUGAAUAUCGAAUAAGUUUGGGAAUGCAUAUCCCAUAUGCAGGUGAAGUUGGUAUAUUGCUACUAAGGUGGGAGAAAUUGAUCAUUGCAAAAUUGAAAUCGUCUCAUUUGCCAUAGAUUAUGAUACAUAGAUGACCUUUGUAAAUGCAGUGUUUUAUACUACAUAAAUUUAAUUGUCUUUGAAACAAUCUUUUUCUGCAGAAUUUAGAUCUACAUAGAUGGUAAUGCAUGAUAAAAAGCUAAUUUUGACUGUAAUAUGGCAAUAUAUAGACGAAAUCGUAUAAAUUUAUUUAGUAAUUUAUUGUUUUCAAUGUUUCGUUUUUUCUUAAUAACCAGAUGUGUUGAGAUAUAUCAUGGCUUUAUUCAUUCCGUGUGAACCGUGUGGUCACGAAGGGAACACACAGAAUGCAGAGAAAUGGUGCACGGAUUGCAAUGAAGGGUUUUGUAAUGUAUGUGAAAGGGCACACAAGUCACUGAGAAUUACGAGAGACC